RNAcentral lists this ribosomal RNA (253 nucleotides) under uncultured bacterium. Its description in RNAcentral is "partial 16S ribosomal RNA". It matches the Rfam family "Bacterial small subunit ribosomal RNA", at positions 524 to 776 of the family's 1533-position model. The record is from RNAcentral.
UACGUAGGGUGCUAGCGUUGUUCGGAAUCAUUGGGCGUAAAGCGCGUGUAGGUGGUUUGGUAAGUCAGGUGUGAAAUCCCUGGGCUCAACCGAGGAAGUGCACUUGAAACUACCAAGCUAGAGGACAGUAGAGGAAGGUGGAAUUCCUAGUGUAGAGGUGAAAUUCGUAGAUAUUAGGAGGAAUACCUGUGGCGAAGGCGGCCUUCUGGGCUGUUCCUGACACUGAGACGCGAAAGCGUGGGUAGCAAACAGG